Molecule: ribosomal RNA, 441 nt
Filed under: Pyrrhocoridae sp. L59 Tha
Lineage: Eukaryota; Metazoa; Arthropoda; Insecta; Hemiptera; Pyrrhocoridae
Description: partial 16S ribosomal RNA
Rfam family: Bacterial large subunit ribosomal RNA (bases 301-441)
Source: RNAcentral
UUUGUCUUUUAAUUGGAGACUGGAAUGAAUGGUUGGACGAGAAGAAUGCUUUCUUAUCUUUAAUUUAUUUUGAAUUUAAUUUUUUUGUAAAAAAGCUUAAAUAUUAUUGUGGGACGAGAAGACCCUAUAGAAUUUUAAUUUUAUUGUAUAAAUAAUAUUUUAGUUAUUUUAUGUAUUAUUUAUACAAUAAAAUUUUUGUUGGGGUGAUAGUGGAAUUUAAUUAACUUCUAUUUUAAUUUAAUCGUGAAUUAAAGUUUUAAUGAUCCUUUAUUAUGGAUUAAAAGUUUAAAUUACCUUAGGGAUAACAGCGUAAUUAAUUUGGAGAGUUCUUAUUGAUGAAUUAGUUUGCGACCUCGAUGUUGGAUUAAAGUUAGUUUUAUAGUGCAGAAGCUUAAUAUCUAGGUCUGUUCGACCUUUAAAUCUUUACAUGAUCUGAGUUCA